Molecule: ribosomal RNA, 465 nt
Filed under: uncultured bacterium
Lineage: Bacteria
Description: partial 16S ribosomal RNA
Rfam family: Bacterial small subunit ribosomal RNA
Source: RNAcentral
GACGAACGCUGGCGGCGCGCUUAACACAUGCAAGUCGAACGGUAAGGCUCCAGCUUGCUGGGGUACACGAGUGGCGAACGGGUGAGUAACACGUGGGUGACCUGCCCUGCACUUCGGGAUAAGCCUGGGAAACUGGGUCUAAUACCGGAUAGGACCGCACCGUGAGGGUGUGGUGGAAAGUUUUUUCGGUGUGGGAUGGGCCCGCGGCCUAUCAGCUUGUUGGUGGGGUAAUGGCCUACCAAGGCGGCGACGGGUAGCCGGCCUGAGAGGGUGGACGGCCACAUUGGGACUGAGACACGGCCCAGACUCCUACGGGAGGCAGCAGUGGGGAAUAUUGCACAAUGGGCGGAAGCCUGAUGCAGCGACGCCGCGUGGGGGAUGACGGCCUUCGGGUUGUAAACUCCUUUCACCAUCGACGAAGGGUUUCUGACGGUAGAUGGAGAAGAAGCACCGGCUAACUACGUG